UAGUCCACGCCGUAAACGAUGGUCACUAGUUGUUGGGGCUUUAUGCCUCAGUGACUAAGCGAAAGUGAUAAGUGACCCACCUGGGGAGUACGAUCGCAAGAUUGAAACUCAAAGGAAUUGACGAGGGCCCGCACAAGCGGUGGAGCAUGUGGUUUAAUUCGAUGAUACGCGAGGAACCUUACCAGGGCUUAAAUGUAAGUUGCAUAGACCAGAGAUGGUCUUUUCUUCGGACUACUUACAAGGUGCUGCAUGGUUGUCGUCAGCUCGUGCCGUGAGGUGUCAGGUUAAGUCCUAUAACGAGCGCAACCCCUACCGUUAGUUGCCAGCAAGUAAAGUUGGGGACUCUAGCGGGACUGCCGGUGCAAACCGAGAGGAAGGUGGGGAUGACGUCAAAUCAUCACGGCCCUUACGUCCUGGGCUACACACGUGCUACAAUGGACGAGACAAUGAGACGCCAAUCUGCGAAGAAUAGCUAAUCUAUAAACUCGUUCUAAGUUCGGA
RNAcentral lists this ribosomal RNA (501 nucleotides) under uncultured bacterium. RNAcentral's name for it is "bacterial SSU rRNA". It matches the Rfam family "Bacterial small subunit ribosomal RNA", at positions 791 to 1297 of the family's 1533-position model. The record is from RNAcentral.